This is a long non-coding RNA of Centruroides sculpturatus (bark scorpion), 871 nucleotides long. RefSeq lists it as uncharacterized. The transcript has 6 exons. The record is from RefSeq and is a predicted model, not a curated record. NCBI's taxonomy places the organism in Eukaryota, Metazoa, Arthropoda, Arachnida, Scorpiones, Buthidae.
UGUCUUUAGACUCGUGUCGUAUAAAUGCGUCAGCCAGCGCCUUCCGCCUGAUUGUUUUGUGUCGUUUCGUGCCAUGUGAGAUAAAUAUGAAGCAGGCAGUAAAUUUGGAUUUCUUGAGAUAAGAGUGGAAGUAUGGAAUAAAGGUAAAUUUACUAGCAUCUGAAAAGAUUACCUGCAUUUGAAAUUGCAAUGUAUGGAGUGGAUUUGACUAAACGGAGUAGAAAGUGCGGAGAUGAAUGGCAUUUGAUCUUUUGGACACAAAUCUGAAAAUUUUGUUGCGGUAUUAGCGAAACAAAUCCACCUCUUCCAAGUUGAUAUUUCACUGGAGUAACUGGGAAUUCGAUGGUUGAAAUUCAAGUUGUCAAAUAAACCUGAGUGUUCAGAUUGGAUUGGUAUGACUGAAAUUGCACCUGUCAAAUUGUGUAGUGGAGAUCAAGAAAAGGAUCUGAAUUGUGAAGUUAUGUUGAAAACAUUAUUUAAGCAUAUGUCAUCUAAAAGAAAAUAAGACGAACCAUCUAUCUGGGCUGCUUUUCAGAGGUAUCAUUAGACAUUCCCUCUGAUGCGACACGUUGCCAAAUCCUUAAGACAGUGACAAAAAAUUCACUAUGGAUGUUCCAUGCUCAAGAUUUACAGGCCUCUUGUCCACUCAAAGCUGGAUUAUGGAUGUGUUGUGUAAAUAAUUAUGCAUGAUGAUCUACUCUUCAGAUGCUGGAUCAAAUCCACCAUCACAUACUGCUUGAUUGCUCUGCCUUCAAGACCAGGCGUAGACAGUAUUUUGGGACAGAGAUUCUGGUCCAGUGGCUCAAUCUUUAUAAUGUAUUGGACUUUUUAAAGGUCACUAAUUUGUAUAAAGAGAUUUAUUUAUUUUUCA